GCCAUGGUCCCACCAUCCCCCACAUGGGAAAUGGCAGCGGGCGUGCCACGGGGAUUCGCUUUUUAAAACGUUUUACGUUCAGGGGGCGAGAACGAAAAGAUGGCGAAGCAUCCAGCUUUCCGAAUGUAGGCGAGUUAACAAUAUACGCGAGGAGCAAUCAGCGUUGCAGAGGGAGGCCAUUCUAUGAGUCUGUGAUUCUAUGACUUCCUGGUCAUUCUGGAGCAUCAGCAGCUGUACGUGGAUAUGAAUUGCACUCAGAUACAGGAAGAAACUGGAGCUGCCUCAUCAAUGCCUCUUCCAUAUUGUCUGAUCUCAGGAGAAGGACAGCAUGGAUGAAUUUGUGCAACAACCCUACCCGUCAUAGAAGAUUAUAUCUUACAGGAAAAUCCACUGGUGACUUGUAAGCUACACUGGCCAUUCCUCACUCACAGUGUUACCCCCAAAACUCCUACGUGCUCACCACAGUACUGAAGCAAAAUGAAGCCUGGAUUCUGAAGAAAGGAGCCAGAACAAGGUGCUAGACAUCUUUCCAGAAGUUUCCCAACAGAGAUAGAUGUCUGCUCUCCUGGGAGAAUGUCCCUCACAUCCCACGAAAUGCUCGUGACACUUGAUUCUACUUGUACCUACUUUGUUUCUGUCUGCAACCAGAACUGAGGUGAAACCUCUGGCCCCGUUCCCCUCACUACAGGAUGAAGAAGCACAGGCCAUGCCAGGCAGAAACAAGAGGUAGGGCUGAACUGAUGAUUCGCAGACCAGUAAAUUCCAUUACACCAUGAAGUUACCUAUCUCCUCUGAGAAGCAAUGUGUGAUAGUGGAACAGCUCUUUUUAAAGAUUCCAGAACACCAUUUCCCUCCCCAGUUCUGUUCUUCUGUCAUCAGACUACACCUAAAUAUGGUUCAUUGACUCCUUCCCUCUCAGUGGUGCCCAACAGCUACAUGCUUCUCCUUUGACCUUUAUUUCCUAAAUCAAGAAUUCACAAGGAGGAGAAGAAUGUGCCAAUACCACUUUCAAUGUGCUGCCAGCACACCUGGAAUGGACUGGUUGUAUUGUUAGAAAAACAUCGGCAUCUGAAAAGCACUGCAGAAAGAUUAAAUAUAUGGGAGGAUUGUGAGCAGUACAGGAGAGACGAACUGCUAUUGAUAAGCCCAAAUCAGUGUUUGUUUGUUCCCCAGGACUCCCAGUAUCAAAACAGCCAUCUGUAGCAACUCAGCUCGCUGUUGUGUAUUCCUGGUACCUGAGCUUCUCAGUCUGGUUGUUGCGCAUUUGUUAGCCUGUGACCUUCCCACAGCAUGUACCAGACACUGAGCAGGGGAGGGAGAAGGAAGAGCAGAGGAAGACAAGUGGAGAAAUAGUUUUAUUUUUUAUUUUCAUUUUACACAAGGUCUAGGGAAAAGGACACUGGCAGAGGCCAAAUGAUAUCUGAACACCACUGUGCUAACAUGGCAACUUUGUGGGAAGGCAGUAUUUGAGUCAGAGGCCUGAUUCUCCCUACCUUUGGUUCAAGACAAAGGUAAAAAUUGUUUAAAAGCUGGUAGACAACAGACCUGAAACCAGCCCUUGCCCUGUGAGGGUGUGGCACGAUGAUAUAGCUAAAAAGAUAGAACAUUUUUGUAUGAAAUGAAAGCAGAACAGGAAGGAGUGAACCUCAUGCAGCUCGAUGCUCUCUGCAGGCUCAAUGCUCUCUGCAGUCUGUAGGGGUGCUACCCUCGCAGUCCCACUGUCAGCACUGCAGUGGAGCAGGCACAUGAGCUCCAUACUGCAGUGCAACAUCUGUGCUCAGAAAUGGAUUAUGCAGCUGUUGCAUUCUUCCACCAUCAUUUGUGCUGCUUUGCCUCCUUCCUCUCCCCCCUUACAUCUGCCUGCAGCCAUCACAGAUUGCUCUUUCUCUUCUUCCCACUCUCUAAGCUGUGUCUUGUCCCCUUUCCACCCUCAUUUCCCAGAGCAGCAGCUGCCAUGGGCACCUUUUGUUGCCUACGGAGGAGAGAGAUGGGAAACGGGGAAGGCAGGCCCCAGCCUGUAACCCAAGUUGGGACAGCAGUCAGAACCAGCGGAGUUCAACCUCAAAAACAGAAGUUACUGAGUCAAGAUAGUGAUCCAAGGUGCACAGAACCAGGGAGGACGAUUACAAUUCAAGGCAAUCUGUGCUCAUGCUUUUUCCUAGGCUGCUCUGGUAGCACAGUACAGCUGGAGCCAAAGGAAAUUCUGCAGCUGAUUUCACUAACAGGAUAAAAUAUUUGGCACAAGCAGAAUUCAGCCCUGAAGGUAUAUGAAUAAUGUUUCCCCAGCCAGCACAUGAUACCGCUGCUUGCGUUAUGCUCCUUUUAGUAAGAGACAGGGUGGGCCUCUUGGACUAUCCAGUGGUUCAUGGUGUUCAGGAUGCACCAUGAUACCCACUUAAUGAAGGAGAAGGAACAGGAUGCACUGUGACACAGACAAUAAAUCAUUGCUCCCAUCCCAGCUGGAAAGCAGGCAGUGGUCCCAGCCUGCUCAUCCAGUCCAACAGGUACGGAACUGUGACAGCAACAGAUGACCUCAGCCUGCACCUCCCAACAGACAUCCUGUAGUUCUGCCCUCUCAGAGCAGAUAGGCAACCUGCAGUGACAGGUUACCUUGCCUGCUGUGCCACUGCUUCGGUCGUACAGAUUAAAUAUGCUUUUCUCAGACACAGAAACUAUUAUUUCUCUGCGAUGAAGCAGCAUCCCACAUUCUUAUUAACCUGUGCCCUACUUCAGAAGCAAAUCUAAUUUGCAGCUUUCGUAGUUUGCUACAGCCAGAAUUGGUUUGUUCCUGUGUCUGCUCUGAGUUUGCUGAUUUUCUACUGCACUGAGUAUGGCACAACUCUCUUUUCUGUGGCCUGUCAGCAUAACUCCUGAGAAAAACAGAACAAGGCAUUGGGGUGGUUGGAGCUGUUUGUUUCAACACUCACACAAAAAAAGGCAGAAGUGUUAAAAUGUUAAUAAUACAAACAUCAAUUUGUGUCAGCAGAGAACAACGUUCUGUCAAUAUUCUGUCUGGGAUGUUCCUACACUUCUGGUCACCUCACACUGAGCAUCUCAAAUAUGCUAUUUGAGAGAAAUUUGGGUGAAAAGACAGAAUUUCAGAGGCUUCAGUGCAUUUCUGGUGGUGUGCAUUAAAAAAGAGGGGUGGGAAGUAUUAUUUCACAUGUACACCAUGUAGGGAAAGGGAAGCGGAGCCUUCCAUGAUGGCCACCACGAAAGCAGAACGCACAGCACUGUGACUGAUCCACACGGAGGUCACUGUCUGACAACCAACACAACCAAGCAAAGGAAGCCCAGAGCUUUUAAAACCAACGCUCGGCAUUUCCCAUUUCAGCUGGCACACUUUGUUGACUUCCCUUCUGGAAAUCAACGUAACCGUGCUACAGACACGGAGCCGCGUGGGGCACGAGCAGCUCCUCAGUCUUAUUGUAGGGAAACAAGAGGAUCAGCUCCUGUGGGCACUGAGCUCUGCCGCCAUGGCAGCGCUGCCCUGGGACGCAGGUUUGCGGGUUGUUCCUUUGAGCCGCCUGGAAGAUAAACUUUGGUCAACGCGUUACACGGCGCCCUUUGUAACUAAGGGACGCCAGCUAACGUGUGGUCGGGGAUCGACAUUCCCCAGGCAAUCAUGUGGAGCCGCUGGGACCGCAAUCCCAGCACGACGUCGGAGCGACCUGCGCGGUCAGGAAGGGCAGAGCCUUGGUGGGAACGCCUGUGGAAGCGCCGCCAUACCGCUCCAUGGCGUACCGGCCCUGUAGGCACCGCGGUCGCACCUCCACAACGGCAGCCAGGCCUCGG
Long non-coding RNA from Phasianus colchicus (ring-necked pheasant), 3795 nucleotides. RefSeq lists it as uncharacterized. The record is from RefSeq and is a predicted model, not a curated record. Lineage: Eukaryota; Metazoa; Chordata; Aves; Galliformes; Phasianidae.